RNAcentral lists this transfer RNA (70 nucleotides) under Ochetellus glaber. RNAcentral describes it as "tRNA-Gly". The record is from RNAcentral. Lineage: Eukaryota; Metazoa; Arthropoda; Insecta; Hymenoptera; Formicidae.
AUUUAUAUAGUAUAAUUAAUUACAAUUAAUUUCCAAUUAAUAAAUUUAAAUACAUAAAUUAAUAUAAAUA